AAGACGCAAAAUAAAACGAAAUUUUACCCAGCAAGAAACUGGGAUGUUUAGAAUGUAUAUGCCAAAUUAUUCUGAAAUAUUCCGUUUCGUUUUUGAAUACGGGCCCGAUAUAUUGACAAGGCGCUCAAUUUUGACGCCGUGCAAGUCUUAGUAAAAUAGCAUAUAUUUUUAUCAAAUUACUAAAAACAGCAAACCUUACGAGAGAAUUUGAUUAUAAAUAGUUACGAAACUCACUCAGCACAAUGAUUUCCAAUUUUAAAAAGUAUUGAAAAGUUUGAGUUUCGAGUUUAAAUUGCCGUUAAAAUUAGCAAAUUCGAGUGAAAUCUGGUUGUCUUUCUUGGUUGAUUCACAAUAUCGUCGCUAGAUGGCGCCUCGUUGCUACGUACGCUAGUGCGCGAAAAUGGAAGUUCGAGAAGACUACACGGUUUCGGGACACUACGCAAACAGUUUCACAAGUCUGUAUAAAGCCGAUCCAGAAUAAACAACUCCAGUGACCCUUUGUAAUUGUUGCAGAGACAUAACAAGACAUCUGCAAGGUUUAAAACUUAGUGAUGGCCGACAAACAACCUGCCAACCCAACCGCGGACAGCGAAGGAAGUCAUACCCCAAAGAAUCACAUUAUAUACAGGACUCAGAACUUUGACAAUCACAGACCCUGUCAUAACAUCAAACUGGACUGAUGAGGCAGAAUAUAUCUUACAGAAUGUUUCAACAAGCGAAAAGUCGAAGAAUGUGUUGACCCAGUGCUUAAUCUGAUUGCACCAGGGCAAUCAGAGAAAUUAAAACAAUUGAUUAUGUUAGGACCUUAAACAACUCCAACAGAUAAAGAGCUUACAAACUACAUGUAUAUGAGGAGAUAACUAACAUUGAACUUCACACUCAAAUUUUUUCAAUGUCAAAAAACUAUGUUAAUAUAUAUAACAGUAAUAAGAUGUACAUGUAUAACUAAUUUAUGUAGAAGAUAAGUGCAUAUAUGUAUGUCCCUUUCUCACUGAUUGUCCAUUAUACAUGUAUAGAAAGAAUAAAGAAAUUUUAUAUCUCAUUACUUCAAGAAAAAUUAUGUGUAAUUAGCAUUAAGAAAGACAAAUUUAGCUGCAUGGUUAAUAACCAAGGAAGACAGAACAAUAACUAAUGAUUAAGUUAAUUGAAUUUCUAAUAUAAAAAAAGAAUCUCAGAAUGCUAUAUUUAUAUAAUAACAAGUGAAAUACUUUGUACUUAUCAUGAUAUAUCAUGAUUUCAUCUUUAAUUACUAAUAUGUGUAUUUAUGUAAUUACCAUGAUGGUAGCUACAUUAUUUGGACUACAUACAGUGUUUUCCCCAGAAAAUGUUUGAUGCAUGGGGGGAAAUUUGUCAGAGUAGGUGCACGGUGCAGUGUUAAAGGGCCCACACCGGGGCAAAAACACUUCGGGUAAAAAUAAUAUAACCAUCUGAUGAAAUGUACUGCAUGAUAUGCACUAUAAUUAAUGCAUUUUCAUGAAAUUCAUAUUUUGUAUUUAUGUAAUUACCAUGAUGGUAGCUACAUUUUUGGACUACAUAUACAUGUAUAUAGGAAUAUUCUAAUAGCAUAAAUUUGUAUACACAGCAUUUACCCAACUGCUGCACAUUCAUAUAAAUGUAUGCACUAUUUUUAUCCCCCCUUCGAAGAAGACGGCCAGUCCACCAACAGUUAUCAUUCAUUUUCUUCGCAGGGGUUCCACAUUUUGAAAUGAAAUUUGGUAUACAGAUUUAUCUGAAUAAGAUCUAGGCAAAGUUAUUUUUUGGGUAUGAUUGAGCAAUUUUUGACCUUGGAAUUAAAAAAAAUUCCAAUUAUUUGCAUUUUCUUCUCAGAUGUUUCCAAAGGAGGGGGCAUAGUUGUUUCACAAACAUGUCUUAUUUGUGUGCAAUCGUUCACUUAGGAUUUUCUUUUUAAAAAAUUGUAAACUUUUAGCCUUUCCAGGGUCCAAAUUGAGGGAAAAAAAUCAAUAUGUAAUCUAUUGGUUGAUGUUUGAUAUAACCAUCUAUAGUAUGUGUGAUACAUUUUGACAUGUAUGGUGUCAUGUAUAUCGAGUUAUUCAUGUGCAACUUGUUUAUUAUAUGUAUGACUGGAAGUCAGUUUAAUA
Long non-coding RNA from Magallana angulata, 2099 nucleotides. RefSeq lists it as uncharacterized. The transcript is spliced from 3 exons. NCBI's taxonomy places the organism in Eukaryota, Metazoa, Mollusca, Bivalvia, Ostreida, Ostreidae. The record is from RefSeq and is a predicted model, not a curated record.